This 556-nucleotide ribosomal RNA is filed under the name Williopsis jadinii. RNAcentral's name for it is "Cyberlindnera jadinii partial large subunit ribosomal RNA". It matches the Rfam family "Eukaryotic large subunit ribosomal RNA", at positions 62 to 626 of the family's 3401-position model. Lineage: Eukaryota; Fungi; Ascomycota; Saccharomycetes; Phaffomycetales; Wickerhamomycetaceae. The record is from RNAcentral.
AAACCAACAGGGAUUGCCUCAGUAACGGCGAGUGAAGCGGCAAAAGCUCAAAUUUGAAAUCUGAGGCUCUCCAGCCCCCGAGUUGUAAUUUGAAGAUGGUGUUCUGGUGCCGGCGCCCUGUCUACGUUCCUUGGAACAGGACAUCGCAGAGGGUGAGAAUCCCGUGUGGCGGGGCGGCCUGGCUCCGUGUAGAGCGCCAUCGACGAGUCGAGUUGUUUGGGAAUGCAGCUCUAAGUGGGUGGUAAAUUCCAUCUAAAGCUAAAUAUUGGCGAGAGACCGAUAGCGAACAAGUACAGUGAUGGAAAGAUGAAAAGAACUUUGAAAAGAGAGUGAAAAAGUACGUGAAAUUGUUGAAAGGGAAGGGUAUUGGAUCAGACUUGGUGCUGUGCGAAUAGCGGCUCUUCCUGGGCCGCCCCACUCGCACUCCACCGGGCCAGCAUCGGUUUGGGCGGCAAGACAAUGGCGGGGGAACGUGGCACUGCUCUCGGGCAGUGUGUUUAUAGCCCUCGCUGAUGUUGCCUGCCUAGACCGAGGACUGCGGCUCUGCCUAGGAUGC